UACGGCGAGUGAGCGGCAACAGCUCAAAUUUGAAAUCUGGCGGCCUCUGGGCCGUCCGAGUUGUAAUUUGAAGAGGAUGCUUUUGGCGAGGUGCCUUCCGAGUGCCCUGGAACGGGACGCCACAGAGGGUGAGAGCCCCGUAUGGUUGGACGCCGAGCCUCUGUAAAGCUCCUUCGACGAGUCGAGUAGUUUGGGAAUGCUGCUCAAAAUGGGAGGUAAACCCCUUCUAAAGCUAAAUACUGGCCAGAGACCGAUAGCGCACAAGUAGAGUGAUCGAAAGAUGAAAAGCACUUUGAAAAGAGAGUUAAACAGCACGUGAAAUUGUUGAAAGGGAAGCGCUUGCGACCAGACUUGUGCUCGUCGAAUCAGCCGCCGCUCGUCGGCGGCGCACUUCGGCGGGCUCAGGCCAGCAUCAGUUCGCUGUAGGGGGAGAAAGGCGAUGGGAAUGUGGCUCUUCGGAGUGUUAUAGCCCGCCGCGCAAUACCCCUCGGCGGACUGAGGACCGCGCAUCUGCAAGGAUGCU
RNAcentral lists this ribosomal RNA (523 nucleotides) under Pseudallescheria angusta. RNAcentral describes it as "eukaryotic LSU rRNA". It matches the Rfam family "Eukaryotic large subunit ribosomal RNA", at positions 85 to 627 of the family's 3401-position model. Lineage: Eukaryota; Fungi; Ascomycota; Sordariomycetes; Microascales; Microascaceae. The record is from RNAcentral.